GGUCGGGUAGCUCAGUUGGUAGAGCAUCGGAUUGAAAAUCCGAGUGUCGGCGGUUCGAGCCCGCCCCUGACCA
This 73-nucleotide transfer RNA is filed under the name Planctomycetaceae bacterium. Its description in RNAcentral is "tRNA-Phe". It matches the Rfam family "tRNA". Rfam says of the family: Transfer RNA (tRNA) molecules are approximately 80 nucleotides in length. Their secondary structure includes four short double-helical elements and three loops (D, anti-codon, and T loops). Further hydrogen bonds mediate the characteristic L-shaped molecular structure. tRNAs have two regions of fundamental functional importance: the anti-codon, which is responsible for specific mRNA codon recognition, and the 3' end, to which the tRNAs corresponding amino acid is attached (by aminoacyl-tRNA synthetases). tRNAs cope with the degeneracy of the genetic code in two manners: having more than one tRNA (with a specific anti-codon) for a particular amino acid; and 'wobble' base-pairing, i.e. permitting non-standard base-pairing at the 3rd anti-codon position. The record is from RNAcentral. RNAcentral also lists the same sequence under 1 other name. Lineage: Bacteria; Pseudomonadati; Planctomycetota; Planctomycetia; Planctomycetales; Planctomycetaceae.